ACCCGCUGAAUUUAAGCAUAUCAAUAAGCGGAGGAAAAGAAACCAACAGGGAUUGCCUUAGUAACGGCGAGUGAAGCGGCAAAAGCUCAAAUUUGAAAUCUGGCACCUUCGGUGUCCGAGUUGUAAUUUGAAGAAGGUAACUUUGGAGUUGGCUCUUGUCUAUGUUCCUUGGAACAGGACGUCACAGAGGGUGAGAAUCCCGUGCGAUGAGAUGCCCAAUUCUAUGUAAAGUGCUUUCGAAGAGUCGAGUUGUUUGGGAAUGCAGCUCUAAGUGGGUGGUAAAUUCCAUCUAAAGCUAAAUAUUGGCGAGAGACCGAUAGCGAACAAGUACAGUGAUGGAAAGAUGAGAAGAACUUUGAAAAGAGAGUGAAAAAGUACGUGAAAUUGUUGAAAGGGAAGGGCUUGAGAUCAGACUUGGUAUUUUGCGAUCCUUUCCUUCUUGGUUGGGUUCCUCGCAGCUUACUGGGCCAGCAUCGGUUUGGAUGGUAGGAUAAUGACUAAGGAAUGUGGCUCUACUUCGGUGGAGUGUUAUAGCCUUGGUUGAUACUGCCUGUCUAGACCGAGGACUGCGUCUUUUGACUAGGAUGUUGGCAUAAUGAUCUUAAGCCACCCGUCUUGAAACAGGACCAAGGAG
RNAcentral lists this ribosomal RNA (634 nucleotides) under uncultured yeast. Its description in RNAcentral is "eukaryotic LSU rRNA". It matches the Rfam family "Eukaryotic large subunit ribosomal RNA", at positions 23 to 673 of the family's 3401-position model. The record is from RNAcentral. Lineage: Eukaryota; Fungi.